RNAcentral lists this long non-coding RNA (534 nucleotides) under Salvia miltiorrhiza (redroot sage). RNAcentral's name for it is "long non-coding RNA (SMIL_LNC004410)". The record is from RNAcentral. Lineage: Eukaryota; Viridiplantae; Streptophyta; Magnoliopsida; Lamiales; Lamiaceae.
AGUCAUUUGGACUUGAUUUACUAUUUUUAUAAAAUGCAAAACCAAAUCUGCACAUUUCUGCCGGGAAUUUCAGAGAACAGGGGACAAAGUCAUUCAUUUCAGUGACUUCCUGUGUGAAUUAGAUUUCCAAAUUUUUAUGGUAUCAACCUUACUGUAUGGGCUAGAUAUCCACCAAAUUUGAGCGCAGUUUGACAACGUUUACUAUUUUUAAAAAAUCAAUGUUUCCGAUUGCUCAAAACUGCCGAAUAUGGUAGACCGUGGUAAAAACGCCAUAUCUCCCAAACCACUUGGAGUUUCUGACUCUACUUUUUUUUAAAUGAAACUAGACUCAAAUACCUUUCUUUUGGUAUGAGUCUGGAAUCCAGGGGAUGUCGGAGUCAGAACGUGUUAAAGUUUGAAGUCGAGUCUGUGUAAAAACAGAACAUGUCUUGAUGAUGUUUGAUGGUAUUUUCUUAUGUGCCUUAUGUGAUUGUGUUGCCUAAGUGUUUGAAUGAGAUUAGACGAGUCUUAUAUGAGAGAUGAAUCGAGACCUAG